GAGCCCCAGAGUGGGGAGCGCGGCGCGUGGCGAGUCCUGGAGCGGGAACAAGAUUGAGCGCGGGCCAUAGUCCCGGAGCAGGAAGCAGAGUGUGCCUGGAGCGGAGUCCCGGAGCGGGGAGCAGAGGAUGAGGGUGUCUCUGGCUAGGCAGCAUUUAUGGCCCAGAAGGCAGUUAAGAGCCAACCACAUUGCUGUGGGUCUGGAGUCACAUGCAGCCCAGACCAGACUACCCAGGGAGAUUCGGUCUGACCAAGGGUUGUGAUGUGCCUCAAAAUAAGUUAAAUAAUAUGCAAGUCCUUGGAGACCGGGAAAGGAUAGUGUGCUGUCUCAGGAACAGAUAACUAAAUUGAAGGACUUGUUGCAGCAAUAGGAGGACUAUAGGGCAUGAGGUUGAAGUAGGGAAUGCUGUUCCAAUAAAACAAAACUACAGGCUUAAUCCUCUCAAAGCCUCACAGCUACAGAAGGAAGUGGAAGCAAUGCUCCAAGACAACAUCAUCAAGUGGAGUUCGCCAGUUGUCUUGGUUCCGAAGCCCGAUAAGGGUCAAUGCUGUAAACAAAACAAACUCCUACCCAGUUCCAAGGCUGCAAGACUGUGCAGGUAAAAUUGGACAAGCCGCUUCCAUCACAAAGUUGGACUUACUGCAUGGUUACUUGCAAAAUAAGCUUCUGGAUUUGUAACCCCAAAUGAGAUAUAAUCAAUUUAUAGCAAUGCCCUUUGGAAUGAAGAACACAUCAGCCACAUCUCAAAAACUUAUGAACAGUUGUGGCAGGAUUGACUAAUUGUAUAGACAGUAUCAUUAUUUUUAAGGAUUCAUAGAAAGAUCACAUGGUGCAUUUGGCAACACUCAGACUACAGGAGGUAAAACUUGUAAAUUUAAAAUAUUGAAUUCACAAAGGCAGAAGUAACAUUCUUGGGACACAAUGUCAGACAUGGAAGGAUGACCCCAAGGAAUGUGAAGAUGGAGGCCACCGAGGAAUUUCCUAGACCAUCCUCCAGGAAAGAGGUGAUUCACUUUUUGGGACUGAGCAGAUUCUACAGGAUGUUUGUACCAAAGUUUAGAAGUGUGGUGGCACUGCUAAUGGAUUUUCUAAAGCACAUGAAAUUUUCACUGAACAGAACAAUGCUAGGUGGUAUUCGAGAUUUUAAAAGCAGUGCUAACCACCGCACCAGUUGGAGCCACAAAUUUCUUGAAACCUUUUAAAGUCACAAGUGAUGCCAGUGAUGGAGGGGUUGGAGCUGCAAAAUUGAAAGACCAAUUGGUUAUUUUUCAAAGAAACUCAAAAAUCAACCAAAUACUCCACCAUCAAAAGUGUAAUUGAGUUUGGUACUAGCCUUAACAUUUUA
Molecule: long non-coding RNA, 1345 nt
Organism: Stegostoma tigrinum
Lineage: Eukaryota; Metazoa; Chordata; Chondrichthyes; Orectolobiformes; Stegostomatidae
Exons: 3
Source: RefSeq, a predicted model, not a curated record